UUAAUUGAAGCCAAAAAGAGGCUUAUCACUGUUAAUGAUAGAACUGAGACCGAUCUCCAAUUAAG
This 65-nucleotide transfer RNA is filed under the name Bactrocera dorsalis (oriental fruit fly). RNAcentral describes it as "tRNA-Asn". The record is from RNAcentral. RNAcentral also lists the same sequence under 2 other names. Lineage: Eukaryota; Metazoa; Arthropoda; Insecta; Diptera; Tephritidae.